CAGAUGGGACAUAAAAAGCUCCAUAUCUUGGGAACAGGAGGCCCACUCAACAUACUGUAAAAGUGCAGGUCAUAGACCAGAGAGUCCUCCUGACGAAGUGGGGCAACCCACAAAACGACGUCCUUUGAGGGUGCACGGAGUCCCCAGAUCGUCACGGGUAAUAUGCCUGCAACAGGCACACAGGACAGAGUGGCAUCCGGCUGAAGAUGACAUUUCUAGGCGAUGUGUGAUGUUCUUUCUUCAUGCUGUGCACUUUCGACUUAUUAAAAUAUGUGUAUCAUUGUUG
Hyla sarda is the source of this 286-nucleotide long non-coding RNA. RefSeq lists it as uncharacterized. NCBI's taxonomy places the organism in Eukaryota, Metazoa, Chordata, Amphibia, Anura, Hylidae. The transcript is spliced from 3 exons. The record is from RefSeq and is a predicted model, not a curated record.